AAUGCACGCUACCAGCACCUGCUGUACUACCAGACGGACGUCUACUACCGCCAGUA
RNAcentral lists this non-coding RNA (56 nucleotides) under Oxyrrhis marina. The record is from RNAcentral. Lineage: Eukaryota; Dinophyceae; Oxyrrhinales; Oxyrrhinaceae.